UACGGAGGGUGCAAGCGUUAUCCGGAUUCACUGGGUUUAAAGGGUGCGUAGGUGGCUUUGUAAGUCAGUGGUGAAAGCCCGGAGCUCAACUCCGGAACUGCCAUUGAUACUGCUUAGCUUGAAUCACGUCGAGGUGGAUGGAAUAAUACAUGUAGCGGUGAAAUGCUUAGAUAUGUAUUAGAACACCGAUUGCGAAGGCAGCUUGCUAAACAAAUAUUGACGCUGAGGCACGAAAGCGUGGGGAUCAAACAGG
Molecule: ribosomal RNA, 253 nt
Filed under: uncultured bacterium
Lineage: Bacteria
Description: partial 16S ribosomal RNA
Rfam family: Bacterial small subunit ribosomal RNA
Source: RNAcentral